GCCCUGGGGCGCUUCGCCCCGCUCCUGGCCGCCUGCGUGUGGCAGCGGCAGCCGCUCCGCCUGCGCUCCGUGCCGCGCCGCGGGGAGCCGGGAACGGGCCGGGAGGCACGGCGGGAGGAGCGCCCGGAGCGGGGCACGGCGACACCCCGGCGCACUUGGGCGGCACCACGGUGUUCGGGGAUAACGUGGAGGAUGAGUGGUUCAUCGUGUAUCUGCUCCGGGAGAUCAGCAGGGAGUUCCCGAGGCUGGCAGCCAGGUGAGGCGGGUCCUGCUGAGCUGCUUUGCUGGGAGGGCUGCCGAGGGGCAGUGCCUGGGCUCUGAAGGUCCUGUCUUAACAUUGCCCGUCCUUGGAGGUGUUUCCCCAUGCCGUACACCUGGGAAGUGUCCAAGGGCAGGUUGGGUGGGGCUUGGAGCAGCCUGGGCUAGUGGAAGGUUUGCCUGGCUGUGGCAGGCGGGUUGGAACCAGGUGUUGAUCUUUAAGUUCCCAUCUAACCUUAGACUUUCUAUGGGUGUCGCUCUUGCGCCGAGAGUAACACAGGAACAGACAGGAGGCAAUCUUGUAUUAAAGAACAAGAAGGCUUUAUUCGAGAGAACCGCGUGGUUUUAUAGAGUGUUACAACAGAUUCUAUUGGUUGGCUAACUAACAAAAACAUCUUCCUCACGCACUGUCCUUGAGAAGGAGAAAAAUAAGAAGUAGAAAAAUACCACCUGCAAAUUAUUUAUACUUAACAAGUUAUUAUGUUCUUACAACUCACUAAAAAUUCCCACAAGCCGCUGUGAGAAACGCUCGCUGUUUCUCUCUCUCUGUCCUGUGGCAUCCACAGAUGGUUUAUGAACAUGAAAAAAACUCCACCAGACAUGGAUUCAGAAGUGUGCUGUUGUGCUCUGCAAGGCUUUUCCUGCUAAGAAACCAAUUUCUCCUUGGCCAGCAUUGAUGACAAUGCUGGAGAGUUUCUCUUGAUAGAAGCAGCUGAUUUUCUCCCCAAGUGGCUGAAUGCUGAGAACAGUGAAAACAGGAGCCUGUAGCCAUCCAGGGCAGCACUCCAGCCACCUGAGUCAUCCCACCUCGUUUCUGAGAUGGCAAUUUCAUCACAGCUCUGCUCUUGGACCAUGGCCUCCUGCUCUGCUUGUGUGUUGCCCAUGCUGCGUGCCCUGGUCUCCAUGCUCCUCAGCUGGGCUGCUGAUUUCACUCCUGUCUCAGCCUUACCACCCUUGGGCCAGCUUCCAGACAGCCCAGCUGCAUCCCCUUCCCCCUUCAAUCCUGGUCUAAAGCCCUCAAGGAGUUCUGCCAGUUCAUGAGCUAAAAACCUUCUGCCCUUAACAGAGAGAGGGAGCCCAUCUGGUUCCAGCAGGCCAGGUGCCAUAGAAGCUGCCCCAUGAUCAAAGAAUCCAAAAUUCUGCCGA
Molecule: long non-coding RNA, 1404 nt
Organism: Motacilla alba alba
Lineage: Eukaryota; Metazoa; Chordata; Aves; Passeriformes; Motacillidae
Exons: 3
Source: RefSeq, a predicted model, not a curated record